UCAGUUUCGGGCUUAUAUAUAAUAUGUAGCACAUGCUGGUUUCGGCUUAGUAUACCCUUUUUGCAGCACCCUGAAUAAACAAGAAUGUGGCCUCGAGUAAGAAAUAAACAUCGCUGUGACGUCUGCCACUCAUUUAUUUGGACAGUAUGGUACAUUAACAUUAUGUUUUCCUGCUAGUAUAUAAGGUGUUGAUGUGCCAGCGCACAGAUCACUGUGAACACAGUUGUACUGAAAACAUGAAAAUUUAUACAGCAAUCAUUGCCAUGGUGGCCCUGAUGUGCGUCGCUGCUGCGUCACCGGAACCCAAGAAAUUACAUGCUCUAUUUCAAAUUACAGCUACUUAAGUGCAAUGGAAAUCAUUUUCGAAGGACUAAUGCAUAGGUAAUACGAAACAUGGCUAUUUGAAUAAAUUAUUUUAAUAUAAAAAAAUAUAUAAACAA
This is a long non-coding RNA of Plutella xylostella (diamondback moth), 440 nucleotides long. RefSeq lists it as uncharacterized. NCBI's taxonomy places the organism in Eukaryota, Metazoa, Arthropoda, Insecta, Lepidoptera, Plutellidae. The record is from RefSeq and is a predicted model, not a curated record.